AGCAGCCGCGGUAAUUCCAGCUCCAAUAGCGUAUAUUAAAGUUGUUGCAGUUAAAAAGCUCGUAGUUGAAUUUCGGGGUCAGUAGAUUGGUCGUGCCACUGGUAUGUACUGGUCUCACUGGCUCCUCCUUCCUGAUGAACCGUAAUGCCAUUAAUUUGGUGUUGCGGGGAAACAGGACUGUUACUUUGGAAAAAUUAGAGUGUUUAAAGCAGGCAAUCGCUUGAAUACAUUAGCAUGGAAUAAUGAAAUAGGACGUUCGAUCCUAUUUUGUUGGUUUCUAGGAUUGACGUAAUGAUUAAUAGGGAUAGUUGGGGGCAUUAGUAUUCAAUUGUCAGAGGUGAAAUUCUUGGAGUUAU
Molecule: ribosomal RNA, 356 nt
Filed under: uncultured Glomeraceae
Lineage: Eukaryota; Fungi; Glomeromycota; Glomeromycetes; Glomerales; Glomeraceae
Description: SSU rRNA
Rfam family: Eukaryotic small subunit ribosomal RNA
Source: RNAcentral